AGCGCAGGCGGUUUUGUAAGUCUGCUGUGAAAGCCCUCAGCUCAACUGAGGAAGUGCAGUGGAAACUACAAAACUUGAGUACAGAAGAGGAAAGUGGAACUCCAUGUGUAGCGGUGAAAUGCGUAGAUAUAUGGAAGAACACCAGUGGCGAAGGCGGCUUUCUGGUCUGUUACUGACGCUGAGGCUCGAAAGCAUGGGUAGCGAACAGGAUUAGAUACCCUGGUAGUCCAUGCCGUAAACGAUGAAUACUAGGUGUUGGAGGGUUUCCGCCCUUCAGUGCCGCAGCUAACGCAUUAAGUAUUCCGCCUGGGGAGUACGACCGCAAGGUUGAAACUCAAAGGAAUUGACGGGGGCCCGCACAAGUGUUGGAGCAUGUGGUUUAAUUCGAUGCUACACGAAGAACCUUACCAGCUCUUGACAUCUUCUGCCAACCCAAGAGAUUGGGCGUUCCCUUCGGGGACAGAAGACAGGUGGUGUUGUUUGCCCCCUCGUUCC
RNAcentral lists this ribosomal RNA (495 nucleotides) under Apilactobacillus kunkeei. Its description in RNAcentral is "bacterial SSU rRNA". It matches the Rfam family "Bacterial small subunit ribosomal RNA", at positions 568 to 1066 of the family's 1533-position model. Lineage: Bacteria; Bacillati; Bacillota; Bacilli; Lactobacillales; Lactobacillaceae. The record is from RNAcentral.